AGUUACGUCAUCUAAGCAUUCAACAAUAAGAAGUGAUGAUAUUCUGCUUAAAGAAUAAGAUGACAAAGAAACCGGCCGUUUGGACCUUAAGGACCUGACGUGAGAAUUUGGUCAGCAAUAUUGCUGGGAACAUGUGAAAAGUGCUGUGAACUUCAAGAAAACCAGGAAGGAAGAGUGCAAGAAAUUUAAAAUAGACAUCUAGCUCCAGACCAUUACUGUGCACAACUCUGGUCACUAGAACAGACUACUCUUUGCCUUUGGUUUUUAUUUUCCCCGUAAGAAAUAAACACUAUUGUAAUUGGUUUGGUUUUAUACAUUUUUUCAAACAAAUAGUUACUUGUUUUAAAUAAAAAGAACAAUACAUUUGGGUUUGUUGAUUUAAAGCACACUGAUAUUUGUCAGACACUGUUGAUGGAGAACGUCACUAACCAUGAGCACAACUCUAUAUGUAUCUCAGGUAUUUUAGUUGUGCAUUGUUAUGGAAACAGAGGUCUAUUGAUUGCAUUCAGAAUUAAAGCACUGCUGUGCUGUUGCAAGCAUACAAUGA
This is a long non-coding RNA of Mauremys reevesii (Reeves's turtle), 547 nucleotides long. RefSeq lists it as uncharacterized. The record is from RefSeq and is a predicted model, not a curated record. Lineage: Eukaryota; Metazoa; Chordata; Testudines; Geoemydidae. The transcript is spliced from 3 exons.